This 274-nucleotide ribosomal RNA is filed under the name uncultured bacterium. RNAcentral's name for it is "partial 16S ribosomal RNA". It matches the Rfam family "Bacterial small subunit ribosomal RNA", at positions 523 to 796 of the family's 1533-position model. The record is from RNAcentral.
AUACGGAGGGUGCAAGCGUUAUUCGGAAUCACUGGGCGUAAAGGACGCGUAGGCGGGUUGGCAAGUCAGAUGUGAAAUCCUACAGCUUAACUGUAGAACUGCAUUUGAAACUGCUAACCUAGAGUAUGGGAGGGGGAGAUGGAAUUAGUGGUGUAGGGGUAAAAUCCGUAGAUAUCACUAGGAAUACCGAAAGCGAAGGCGUUCUCCUGGAACAUAACUGACGCUAAGGCGUGAAAGCGUGGGGAGCAAACAGGAUUAGAAACCCUAGUAGUCC